CUGUUGAGUAACUCUAAGCAAAUUUCAAUCAUAAGAUGCUAUACGGUUGAGUAACUCUAAGUAACAUUCAAUCAUAAGAUGCUAUACGGUUGAGUAACUCUAAGUAAAUUUCAAUCAUAAGAUGCUAUACGGUUGAGUAACUCUAAGUAACAUUCAGUCAUAAGAUGCUAUAAUGUUGAGUAACUCUAAGUUACAUUCAAUCAUAAGAUGCUAUACUGUUGAGUAAAUGUGAGUAACAUAUCAGUCAAAAUAAGUUACACUGUUGAGUAACCGAGUAACAUAUCAGUCAUAAAAUGCUAUAUUGUUGAGUAAGUAUAAGUACUUAUAAGUCACUAUAUUGUUGAGUAACUAUGAGUUCAUUCAAUCAUUAUAGGAUAUAUAUUAUUGUUAAAAUAUAACAAAAAAAAUAAAAAGUACAGUCGAGCAACAACAAAAACGUGACAUUUGAAUUAUACAUUUACUGCAAAACAUUUUAUUUUAAGUUUAUCUUAACACGUAAACUAUAGGGAAGUAUUAAAGUUUGACCUUCAAAAGACAUGACUAUCAUAAGUCCUCGGUAAUAUUAUAUUGUUUUAGUUAAAUGUCUUCUGAGAACCCGGAUGAUGAUAAUAUCUUUCUUAAGAAUUGUUAAAACUUCCCUAAAUCAGUUUUUCUAUCACAGAAAAGUCGACUAAUAGUGACUGUGGUUAAAUUGUAGGUUAAAUCAUGUGUGGGUCGUGUACUCUUCAUCUCGUUAAAUAUUGUAUUCAGACGUAUAGUAUGUGUGUAGUGAAUACACUACGAUAUGUAAACAAAACACAUGUAAAACGCAAGAAUAUUUUUAAAAAAGAAAAUAAGAACGCGGAAGAAAUUCAUAUAUUAUGAUAAAAAGUUAAAAUCUGUUUCUUUUUAUUAUAAACUGGUUUGUUUAGCUUUGCAGCAUACAAACGAAAGACACCGACUGGUUUGCUCUCAUGUUUGUUUAGCUUUGCAGCAUACAAACGAAAGACACCGACUGGUUUGCUCUCAUGUUUGUUUAGCUUUGCAGCAUACAAACGAAAGACACCGACUGGUUUGCUCUCAUGUUUUUUUAUAUACAUAGCCAGCAAGAGAGCAGAUGCUUCAUGACUAUUCACUGUAUCACAAUGCCAAAAACAAUUUGUUUCAGCGAAAAAUAAAAAUCCAAAUAAAACAUGGUUUGAAACCAAUACGAUAUCAAUGCGACCAAUUAAUAAAGACAACAAAAGAAUGGCGAAAGAUACCAAAGGGACAUGAAAACACAUACAAAAGAGUGGCGAAAGAUACCAAAGGGACAUGAAAACACAUAAAGACAACAAAAGAGUGGCGAAAUAUACCAAAGGGACGACAUGAAAACACAUACGUAGAAAAUAAAAUUACUACACCAGGGCAAAAAAAAUGAAAAAUGCCAAAAGACAAACAAAGGUAUACAAAGCGCAACAUACACACACAAAGGAAUCAAAAGACGAAGACAAACAACAUCAAAAGACUGGGGAUGACCUCAGAUGCUCCGGAUGGGUAAGCAUAUCUUGCUCCACAUGUGUUGCCCUUUGCGUUGAUUAUGUAAGUACAAACCUUGUAAUAAUUAUUUCUGUAGAUCACAUUUGGAGGAAAGAGGAAAGGAAGGUUAGUUAUACGACAAAUAGAACAUAUAUCCGUCGCCAUCAGUGAAUAAGAUAUUCCAUAACGGUCAACCAACCCGUGAUGGCGACAGUAAAAUUUACCAAGUGAUAAUUUGAACUUCACCACUAGGAACUCUUCAUUUCAUAGCUUCAUCGUGAGCAAAAACCCUCCAUCAAAAAAAAUUCUGAUAAGAAAAUGCUAGUCCUGGAAUAUCGUAUAUAUUUAGAAAAACAUGCUCAAUAUGCAGGGACAAAAAUAAUUGUAGAGAUGAAUGUAGAUAACAGACUAUACAAAAAGCUUCAGAAAUGCAAAGUUUUUACCCCCCCCCCUCCCCAGAAGACAAUACAUAGUCUCAUAAAACACAGAGAUAAUCAGAAUGUAGACAGCAGAGAAAAAAAGAGAGAAUGAUUCAGUAAGUCUUAUUUUAAGUUUUACCAAAAGUAGACAGCAGACAAAACUGUAUAGGCUUAAAAGAUAUAAACCCCGAUAAAAACCCUAAGUUAUACCGAAUCUAGUAUGCAGUAGAGAACACGGAAUAGGCUUCAGCAAUACAAAUGAUCACAAACACCAAUACAAACUAUCAUAAGACCUUGAGUUAUGCCAAAUGUAGACAGCAAAUAAAAAUGAAAAGGCUCCAGCCCUUAAAACUUCCCUUACUCUUGAUUGUACGAGAAUUAUAGAUCCCACAAACAUCAAAGGACUUCAGCAA
This 2329-nucleotide long non-coding RNA is filed under the name Mytilus galloprovincialis (Mediterranean mussel). The record is from RNAcentral. Lineage: Eukaryota; Metazoa; Mollusca; Bivalvia; Mytilida; Mytilidae.